Non-coding RNA from Acanthosepion pharaonis, 113 nucleotides. The record is from the annotation of a GenBank genome assembly. NCBI's taxonomy places the organism in Eukaryota, Metazoa, Mollusca, Cephalopoda, Sepiida, Sepiidae.
UAUGGUCAUAUAGUGUUGAAACACAGGUUACUGUAUGAUCACAAAAAGUUAAGCAAUCUCAAGCCUGGUCAGUACCUAGAUGGGUGACCACUUGGGAAUACCAGGUGCUGUAA